This 462-nucleotide ribosomal RNA is filed under the name uncultured bacterium. RNAcentral describes it as "partial 16S ribosomal RNA". It matches the Rfam family "Bacterial small subunit ribosomal RNA", at positions 28 to 507 of the family's 1533-position model. The record is from RNAcentral.
GAUCAACGCUGGCGGCGUGCUUAACACAUGCAAGUCGAACGAAGUUUUUCCUUCGGGCGCCACUUAGUGGCGGACGGGUGAGUAACGCGUGGGUAACCUGCCCUGUACAGGGGGACAACAGCUGUAAACGGCUGCUAAUACCGCAUAAGCCCUUAGCACUGCAUGGUGCAUAGGGAAAAGGAGCAAUCCGGUACAGGAUGGACCCGCGUCUGAUUAGCCAGUUGGCAGGGUAACGGCCUACCAAAGCGACGAUCAGUAGCCGAUCUGAGAGGAUGUACGGCCACAUUGGGACUGAGACACGGCCCAGACUCCUACGGGAGGCAGCAGUGGGGAAUAUUGCACAAUGGAGGAAACUCUGAUGCAGCGACGCCGCGUGAGUGAAGAAGUAUUUCGGUAUGUAAAGCUCUAUCAGCAGGGAAGAAAAUGACGGUACCUGACGAAGAAGCACCGGCUAAAUACGUG